UUGUUGGUAAGGUAAAAGCUUACCAAGGCUUCGAUCAGUAGCUGGUCUGAGAGGACGACCAGCCACACUGGGACUGAGACACGGCCCAGACUCCUACGGGAGGCAGCAGUGGGGAAUUUUGGACAAUGGGGGCAACCCUGAUCCAGCCAUGCCGCGUGAGUGAAGAAGGCCUUCGGGUUGUAAAGCUCUUUCAGCCGGAACGAAACGGUUACGGUUAAUACCCGUGACUACUGACGGUACCGGAAGAAGAAGCACCGGCUAACUACGUGCCAGCAGCCGCGGUAAUACGUAGGGUGCGAGCGUUAAUCGGAAUUACUGGGCGUAAAGCGUGCGCAGGUGGUUUUGUAAGUCAGAUGUGAAAGCCCCGGGCUCAACCUGGGAACUGCGUUUGAAACUACAAGACUAGAGUGUGGCAGAGGGGGGUGGAAUUCCGCGUGUAGCAGUGAAAUGCGUAGAGAUGUGGAGGAACACCGAUGGCGAAGGCAGCCCCCUGGGUCAACACUGACGCUCAGGCACGAAAGCAUGGGGAGCAAACAGGAUUAGAUACCCUGGUAGUCCAUGCCCUAAACGAUGUCAACUAGUUGUCGGGCCUUUACGGGCUUGGUAACGUAGCUAACGCGUGAAGUUGACCGCCUGGGGAGUACGAUCGCAAGAUUAAAACUCAAAUGAAUUGACGGGGACCCGCACAAGCGGUGGAUUAUGUGGAUUAAUUCGAUGCAACGCGAAAAACCUUACCUACCCUUGACAUGUAUCGAAGCCCGCAGAAAAGCGGGGGUGCCCGAAAGGGAACGAUAACACAGGUGCUGCAUGGCUGUCGUCAGCUCGUGUCGUGAGAUGUUGGGUUAAGUCCCGCAACGAGCGCGACCCUUGUUAUUAAUUGCCAUCAUUUAGUUGGGCACUUUAAUGAGACUGCCGG
This 916-nucleotide ribosomal RNA is filed under the name uncultured bacterium. RNAcentral describes it as "bacterial SSU rRNA". It matches the Rfam family "Bacterial small subunit ribosomal RNA", at positions 246 to 1155 of the family's 1533-position model. The record is from RNAcentral.